UGUGGGAGCUGGCUUGCCUGCGAUGCAGACACCUCGGCGUACCGGUUUGACCCAGGUGAUGCCAUCGCAGGCAAGCCAGCUCCCACA
This 87-nucleotide non-coding RNA is filed under the name Pseudomonas tolaasii NCPPB 2192. Lineage: Bacteria; Pseudomonadati; Pseudomonadota; Gammaproteobacteria; Pseudomonadales; Pseudomonadaceae. The record is from RNAcentral.